CCCAAAGUGCUGGGAUUACCGGCGUGAGCCACCGUGCCCAGCCCCACUUGAACUUUAAUCCUUGCCUCGGAAUUGGCUUCUGGGGAAACCAAAAAUAUAUUAAAAAAAGAGAGACCAGGACCUUAAAAAGAGCCCAAGUUGUUGAGCUCCCUGCCAAGUCACCCCCAGGUAUCUCUGCCCACCAGCUUGCAUGAGCCAGAUCCUCAGUGCAGGUUUUUCCAAUCAGUCAUUUGUUCUUCCACCCAACGCUCAAGAUUUGCUUCUUCAAGACAACUCUCUGAUCAGCUGAGACCCAUAGACACCCAGCUUCUACCACACAUAUGAUGGCAUUAUCCUAGGGCAUGGCAGAGCAACGCAAGGGAAAACUCUGGGCCCCCAAGUGAUGUCAUGGAGGAGAACUCUCAACCCAGAACUACUACGUGAGAAACAACGCUCUCUCUUCUUUAAGCCAUAGGUGUGUUGGGAAUCUUUGUUACAGCAGCACGCCUGAUCUUUUGUUUUGUUUUGUUUUGUUUUAGAGAUGGAGUCUUGCUCUUUCGCCAGGCUGGAGUGCAGUGGUGCGAUCUUGGCUCACCAUGUUGGUCAGGCUGGUUUCAAAUCCCUGACCUCAAGUGAUCCUCCCACCUUGGCCUCCCAAAGUGCUGGGAUUACAGGUGUGAGCCACCGCACCCGGCCCAGCCAUGCCUUGUCUUAACUAGCAUAGCCGCCCAACGUCCACUUCUUUUGGCCAUGUUGUCCUGAUUCUGCUGGAGAAUCCCUUUCCCACUGCUCCCAGACCAGUGGUGUAGCUGACCUGCGCUCUCUCCACUCAAUUCAGGGGAGGGAGGGGUUUAGGCCUGGGCUAAGAGAGCUGCACAUUUCCCAGGGCACAGUGAUUAGUUGAGGGUGGGUCCCAGAGCCAAAUCUGCCCAAGAUCUUAGCCUGAAAGAGAAACCCUCCUGCUGAGUGACUGCACUGUGAGGCAGAAGUCCAGAGCUGUGGGUGGCCAUCCAGCCUCCAUUUGCGCCUGCCUGAGAAAGAAGCCACCAUGGGGGAAAUCGAGCUAAAAGACGGAGAGGGAGGUAAGAGAGGAUGACAUCACAUAAGCACCAGAUCUGGCCACCCCUGAAACUGGAACAACCCUAAGCUUUACAGCUACUACAUUCCCUUUUCUGCUGAAGUUGUUUUACACUGGGUUUCUGUCUCUUGCAACCAAGAGCUCUGUUAAAUAAAAACCUGACCCUAAGGAGAACGUUAGCUGGUUCACAAUUCCCUGUGCAAAACAGGCACAGGUCAGCUGCCCCAGCCUGUCGUUUGGAUAUUCCUUUCUAAGAACGCUCACUUUUGUUGUCUACAUGACCCAGAUAACCAAGGAGAAAGCAAAUCAACCGCCUUCCAGCGGCGCCUUCCUUGGCAGCAAGUGCUAAGAGAGAACACAAUGUGAGUACUCUGCCCUCUGGAGUCAGGGUUGAUCCUCAGCACUUGCUGUCCUGGGAGGCUGCACCUGUGACACUUGAGUGCCAGGUUCAACCCCUACUGCUGCUGCUGCUGCCUGAAUGGGGCCAUUUAGACUGUUGAGUGCUACAGCCUCAGCCCAGGAACCCGGAGCUUCACAUGAGGCAGAGCAGGGCCCCAGGGUCCCUGAAACUUGCCAGUUCAAACAGCAGAGGGGUGAGGACUCCCCAGUCAGCCCUGGUCUCAUACCUGCCUCUGCAUGGUCCCAGUCCAGCCUGAGGCCUUUGCUUUCUUUUUUGAAGGGAAGGUGAGGAGAGAGGGGGAAAAUAGAGGUGUUCUGACUAGACUUAGGAUUCCUGGCCUCUGCCUCUGACCGCCAGAGGACAGCCUCUGCAGUUGCCUCAUCUACUCAUGAAAACAGGCCUGUGACCCCAGGGGUGCUCUGAGGAUUCUUCCAGAAAACAUCUGCCCAGCUAGGACUACCUAGCUCACUGCCCAAAAAGGGUUCAUUUCCUUUCCUUCUGAAACAAAAGCGCUUAAUUGGAAGAGAAGCAUUGACUCAAGCUAUAGGAUAUGCCACUUAAAAUGUCCAGAUCUUGGCACAAGGCCUGGCGCACAGUGUGGGAGAGAAGGAGAGAAGAAGGUGGAAGGAAAGGAGGGAGGGGAAAGAGGAAGCAGGGAGGGAGAAAAUAAGACAAGGGCCUCCUCAUCUGGAUGCUUCCCUAGACCAAGAAGUGGCCCAGGUGGUGCCCAGGGGACAGGGAGUGGGCAAUAAAAGACAAUGGGGUGUAGGUGAUAGGGUGUAGAUGAUCAGGGUAUAGGUGAUCAGGAUGUAGGUGAUGGGGUGUAGAUGACUGGGGUAUAGAUGAUUGAAGUGUAGGUGAUGGGGUAUAGAUGAUCGAGGUGUAGGUGAUGGGGUAUAGAUGAUUGAGGUGUAGGUGAUGGGGUGUAGGUGAUGGGGGUCAAGGUGAUCAAGGUGUAGGUGAUGGGGUAUAGAUGAUUGAGGUGUAGGUGGUGGGGUGUAGAUGAUUGGGGUGUAGGUGAUGGGGUGUAGGUGACGGGUAUAGGUGAUGGGGUAUAGAUGAUCAGGGUGUAGGUGAUUGGGGUAUAGGUGAGCAGGGUGUAAGUGAAGGGGUAUAGGUGGUGGGGUAUAGAUGAUCAGGUGUAGGUGACUGGGGUUUGGGUGAUGGGGUGUAGGUGAUGGGGUAUAGAUGAUUGAGGUAUCGGUGAUGGGGGUCAAGGUGAUCAAGGUGUAGGUGAUGGGGUGUUGGUGAUUGGGGUGUAGGUGAUCAGGGUGUAAGUGAUGAGGUAUAGGUGAUGCAGUGUAGGUGAUCAGGGUAUAGGUGAUGAGGUGUAGGUGAUGGAGUGUAGAUGAUUGAGGUGUAGGUGAUGGGGUAUAGGUGAUUGGGGUGUAGGCAAUGGGGUGUAGGUGAUCGGGGUCAAGGUGAUAGAGGUGUAGGUGAUGGGGUGUUGGUGAUUGGGGUGUAGGUGAUCAGGGUGUAGGUGAUGGGAUGUAGGUGAUCAGGGUCAAGGUGAUUGAGGUGUAGGUGAUGGGAUGUUGGCAACCAGGGUGUAGGUGAUCAGGAUGUAGGUGAUGGGGUGUAGACGAUCAGGGUGUAGGUGAUGGGCUGUUGCUGACCAGGGUGUAGGUGAUCAGGGUGUAGGUGAUCCGAACUUCCUACUCAAUUCAGGCAACAGCUCCCAGCCUGAGGCAAAUACCCCCCGAGGCAGUCAGGGUCUCACCUCCCAUGGCUCUGACGCAGGCCUCCAAGGUGAGGAGAUGGAGGUAGCAGAGGUCACUUCACUCAGCUGUCACACACCCUGAGGGAACUCCUGUCACUGUUAUCCCACCUGCAAGUGAGGAGCCAGCAUUUCUCAUGCUCCAGGGUUGGCCACAGAGCCCAUUCAAGGGAGGGAGAAGAGCCUUCGGCCAGCGCAUCCUAACCGCAGAAAGCCAAGACCUCUGCAGAAAAAGAGACCAGGCCCAUAAAAAGAGAUCCAUGAGUUGAGUUCCCUGCCAUGCCACCCCCAGGCAUCUCUGCCCACCAGCCUGCAUGAGCCAGCCCCUCAGUGCAGGUUUUUCCAAUUGGCCGUUUGUUCUUCCACCCAACACUCAAGAUUUGCUUCUCAGCCUGGACAACAUAGCAAAACCCCAUCUCUACAAAAAAUACAAAAAUUAGCUGGGCAUAGUGGCACACACCUAUAGUCCCAGCUACUCGGGAGGCUGAAGUGGGAAGAUUACCUGAGCCUGGGAGGUCAAGGUUGCAGUGAGCCAUGAUCAUGCCACUGUACUCCAGCCUGGGUGACAGAGUGAGAACUUGUCUCAAAAACAAAAAAAGAGAGGAAGAUCUGCUUCUUCAAACCCACACAACUAAUAUAAAGUAAUCAACCUCCCCACCUCAAUAACCUGAAGUUAAACAUCACACAAUAAGCCCUGAACAGAGAGCUGUAGGUCAAUGUUCCAUUUUGCUUUUAAAAGCUUCACAAGAACAUUUCAUUUAUUAAAAUAGUUUCUGUAAACUCUUUCAGAAUAACAAAAUUCACUUGCCUUGCUUAAACAGCAUUUCAAGUAGAAGUAUUUUUAUUUCAAGGCACCAUAAAAUGAUGAUCUCUCUAAGAAAUACCUCUCCUUC
This 4067-nucleotide long non-coding RNA is filed under the name Homo sapiens (human). Its description in RNAcentral is "HSALNT0264930". Lineage: Eukaryota; Metazoa; Chordata; Mammalia; Primates; Hominidae. The record is from RNAcentral.